UUUCCCUUUUUCACGUAGUUCAUCAUGAUUGUUUUGAUUUGCAUUAGUUUAUAUGUUGACUAAGAGCAUAUUUACACUAGUCAUCUUUCCCUAUGUCUCAAUGCAGGUAGGGUUAUAUAUUUCUGUAUACACGAUAUGACCCAUAAGUUGCUUCUCUCUCAUUCCUUUCUUUUUGCGCAUGUCCAUCUACAUGCAAUUGUAACUGUGUUUCUUUCUUCUGUAGUUGUGUAUAUUUUUGAAUCACAAGUUCAACGAUUCCAUGAAAUUCAGAUAUGGAUGUUUCGUGAUCAGGAAGUGAUGAAGGAUUGAUUAUUAAUCGAUCAUGGCCACUGGCUUAAUUUCCUCAAAUAUUACAUUAGUAGUUAACUGAACUUGUUGAGGGAUAGUUAACGGCAAUCAGCUGAUUUUGUGGUAGGUUUUGAUUCUUCUUUCAUAUAUUUAAUGGUGUUAUGGAUCCCACUGAUUAAAGAGCAUAUCUGUAUUAUUAUUUUUAUAUGUAUGUCAGUAUAGCUUAAAUAUUGCCAUACCUAUUAAAAGGGCUAGGGGAACAUGUAGCUUUCAUAAGUUGUCACCAAUUUUUCCGUUUGCUUCAUCUCCAUGGAGUUGGGAUCCAUACAAAGUAACUUGCCAAGCUAGCUACCUUUGUUUUUUACUCUUUUCCCUAUUCGAGGAUAGCAAUUAAAUUCAAGACUUUAUUUCUAAUAGAAAAAGAGCAAUGAUUUUGCACCAUAUAUAUAAUAGCCUCGGGAUUU
Molecule: long non-coding RNA, 752 nt
Filed under: Olea europaea subsp. europaea
Lineage: Eukaryota; Viridiplantae; Streptophyta; Magnoliopsida; Lamiales; Oleaceae
Source: RNAcentral